Molecule: transfer RNA, 67 nt
Filed under: Marmota marmota marmota (Alpine marmot)
Lineage: Eukaryota; Metazoa; Chordata; Mammalia; Rodentia; Sciuridae
Also listed under: 1 other name
Rfam family: tRNA
About the family: Transfer RNA (tRNA) molecules are approximately 80 nucleotides in length. Their secondary structure includes four short double-helical elements and three loops (D, anti-codon, and T loops). Further hydrogen bonds mediate the characteristic L-shaped molecular structure. tRNAs have two regions of fundamental functional importance: the anti-codon, which is responsible for specific mRNA codon recognition, and the 3' end, to which the tRNAs corresponding amino acid is attached (by aminoacyl-tRNA synthetases). tRNAs cope with the degeneracy of the genetic code in two manners: having more than one tRNA (with a specific anti-codon) for a particular amino acid; and 'wobble' base-pairing, i.e. permitting non-standard base-pairing at the 3rd anti-codon position.
Source: Rfam by way of RNAcentral
GGGGUUGUAGCUCAGUGGCAGAGCGCUUGCCUAGUGUGAGGCAUUGGGUUCAAUUCUCAGCACCCCA